CCUACGGGAGGCAGCAGUGGGGAAUAUUGGGCAAUGGAGGCAACUCUUACCCAGCAAUGCCGCGUGAAUGAAGAAGGUCUUCGGAUUGUAAAGUUCUUUAAUUGGGGACGAAAAAAAUGACGGUACCCAAGGAAUAAGCCCCGGCUCACUACGUGCCAGCAGCCGCGGUAAUACGUAGGGGGCAAGCUUUGUUCGGAAUGACUGGGCGUAAAGGGUGUGUAGGCGGUGUAGCAAGUUAGAAGGGAAAUACCUAGGGCUUAACUCAGGUGCUGCUUCUAAAACUGCUAUACUUGAGUGCAGUAGAGGAAAGUGGAAUUCCUAGUGUAGCGGUGAAAUGCAUAGAUAUCACGCAGAACCCCGAUUGCGAAGGCAGCCUUCCGGCGCCCUACUGACGCUGAGGCACGAAAGUGCGGGGAUCGAACAGGAUUAGAUACCCGGGUAGUC
RNAcentral lists this ribosomal RNA (444 nucleotides) under uncultured bacterium. Its description in RNAcentral is "partial 16S ribosomal RNA". It matches the Rfam family "Bacterial small subunit ribosomal RNA", at positions 338 to 795 of the family's 1533-position model. The record is from RNAcentral.